This 505-nucleotide ribosomal RNA is filed under the name uncultured bacterium. RNAcentral describes it as "bacterial SSU rRNA". It matches the Rfam family "Bacterial small subunit ribosomal RNA", at positions 28 to 492 of the family's 1533-position model. The record is from RNAcentral.
GACGAACGCUGGCGGCGUGCCUAAUACAUGCAAGUCGAACGCACUCUCGUUUAGAUUGAAGGAGCUCGCUCCUGAUUGAUAAACAUUUGAGUGAGUGGCGGACGGGUGAGUAACACGUGGGUAACCUGCCCUAAAGUGGGGGAUAACAUUUGGAAACAGAUGCUAAUACCGCAUAAAACCUAACACCGCAUGGUGUAGGGUUGAAAGAUGGUUUCGGCUAUCACUUUAGGAUGGACCCGCGGUGCAUUAGUUAGUUGGUGAGGUAAAGGCUCACCAAGACCGUGAUGCAUAGCCGACCUGAGAGGGUAAUCGGCCACACUGGGACUGAGACACGGCCCAGACUCCUACGGGAGGCAGCAGUAGGGAAUCUUCCACAAUGGACGAAAGUCUGAUGGAGCAACGCCGCGUGAGUGAAGAAGGUUUUCGGAUCGUAAAACUCUGUUGUUGGAGAAGAAUGUAUCUGAUAGUAACUGAUCAGGUAGUGACGGUAUCCAACCAGAAAGCC